RNAcentral lists this ribosomal RNA (495 nucleotides) under uncultured bacterium. RNAcentral describes it as "bacterial SSU rRNA". It matches the Rfam family "Bacterial small subunit ribosomal RNA", at positions 899 to 1397 of the family's 1533-position model. The record is from RNAcentral.
ACUCAAAGGAAUUGACGGGGGCCCGCACAAGCAGUGGAGUAUGUGGUUUAAUUCGAAGCAACGCGAAGAACCUUACCAGGUCUUGACAUCCGACUAACGAAGCAGAGAUGCAUCAGGUGCCCUUCGGGGAAAGUCGAGACAGGUGGUGCAUGGUUGUCGUCAGCUCGUGUCGUGAGAUGUUGGGUUAAGUCCCGCAACGAGCGCAACCCUUGUCAUUAGUUGCUACGCGAGAGCACUCUAAUGAGACUGCCGUUGACAAAACGGAGGAAGGUGGGGACGACGUCAAAUCAUCAUGCCCUUUAUGACCUGGGCUACACACGUACUACAAUGGCCGCUAACAACGGGAAGCAAGAGCGCGAGCUGGAGCAAAUCCCCAAAAGCGGUCUCAGUUCAGAUUGCAGGCUGCAACCCGCCUGCAUGAAGUCGGAAUUGCUAGUAAUCGCAGAUCAGCAUGCUGCGGUGAAUACGUUCCCGGGCCUUGUACACACCGCCCGU